GAUGAACGCUGGCGGCGUGCCUAAUACAUGCAAGUCGAGCGAACGGACGAGAAGCUUGCUUUUCUGAUGUUAGCGGCGGACGGGUGAGUAACACGUGGAUAACCUACCUAUCAGACUGGGAUAACUUCGGGAAACCGGAGCUAAUACCGGAUAAUAUUUUGAACCGCAUGGUUCAAUAGUGAAAGACGGUCUUGCUGUCACUUAUAGAUGGAUCCGCGCUGCAUUAGCUAGUUGGUAAGGUCACGGCUUACCAAGGCAACGAUGCAUAGCCGAACUGAGAGGGUGAUCGGCCACACUGGAACUGAGACACGGUCCAGACUCCUACGAGAGGGAGCAGUAGCGAAUCUUCCGCAAUGGGCGAAAGCCUGACGGAGCAACGCCGCGUGAGUGAUGAAGGUCUUCGGAUCGUAAAACUCUGUUAUUAGGGAAGAACAUAUGUGUAAGUAACUGUGCACAUCUUGACGGUACCUAAUCAGAAAGCCACGGCUAACUACGUG
RNAcentral lists this ribosomal RNA (497 nucleotides) under uncultured bacterium. RNAcentral's name for it is "partial 16S ribosomal RNA". It matches the Rfam family "Bacterial small subunit ribosomal RNA", at positions 28 to 507 of the family's 1533-position model. The record is from RNAcentral.